This is a small nuclear RNA of Oryctolagus cuniculus (rabbit), 126 nucleotides long. NCBI's taxonomy places the organism in Eukaryota, Metazoa, Chordata, Mammalia, Lagomorpha, Leporidae. The record is from Ensembl.
GUGCUCACUUUGGCAGCACAUAUACUAAAAUUGGAAUGAUACAGAGAUUAAAAAAAAAAGAUACAGAGAUUAGCAUGGCCCCUGUGCAGGGAUGGUAUGCAAAUUUGUGAAGCAUUUCAUAUUUUU